RNAcentral lists this ribosomal RNA (301 nucleotides) under uncultured bacterium. RNAcentral describes it as "partial 16S ribosomal RNA". It matches the Rfam family "Bacterial small subunit ribosomal RNA", at positions 509 to 807 of the family's 1533-position model. The record is from RNAcentral.
CAGUAGCCGCGGUAAUACGUAGGGUGCGAGCGUUGUCCGGAAUUACUGGGCGUAAAGAGCUCGUAGGCGGUUUGUCGCGUCGUCUGUGAAAUUCUGCAGCUUAACUGUAGGCGUGCAGGCGAUACGGGCAGGCUUGAGUACUACAGGGGAGACUGGAAUUCCUGGUGUAGCGGUGAAAUGCGCAGAUAUCAGGAGGAACACCGGUGGCGAAGACGGGUCUCUGGGUAGUAACUGACGCUGAGGAGCGAAAGCGUGGGUAGCGAACAGGAUUAGAUACCCCAGUAGUCCCUGUCUCUUAUAC